This is an RNA transcript of Psammomys obesus (fat sand rat), 5333 nucleotides long. It is a transcript of the gene named gamma-secretase activating protein, with no coding region annotated. The transcript is spliced from 33 exons. Lineage: Eukaryota; Metazoa; Chordata; Mammalia; Rodentia; Muridae. The record is from RefSeq and is a predicted model, not a curated record.
GGCGGCUGCGGGGCUGGGAGGUGUGAGCCAGGCCCGGAAUGUCCACCCCGCCGCUGCUUGCGGGCCAUGGCUCUGCAGCUGCUGGCCCACUUCGACGUGCGGGAGGACGUGCUCCCGAGCCUGCCGGCCCAGCCGGAGACAACGGCCGGAGGAGGCGGCGCAGAUGUUUUAGAAACAACUUAUGAGAGCUUACGUGUACUAAACAUCGAAAGAAAUGGGAACAUUAUUUAUACCUAUAAGGAUAAUAAGGGAAAUGCUGUCUUUGGAUUAUAUGACUGCCAAGCCAGGCAGAAUGAGCAUCUGUACACCUUUGAGAAGGACAUGCAAGCCAUCAGCUGCUCUGUCAACAGUGCGAGAACUGUCCUUGCUGCAAGUUUCAUUCAGUACACUAAGGAAGGAGUAAGGAAUGAGCUUCACCCAGGAUCAAAGUGCUUGACUUUGCUGGUUGAAAUCCACCCUGUCAACAAUGUGAAGGUUCUGAAAGCGGUGGAUAGCUGCAUUUGGGUACAGUUCCUCUACCCACACGCUGAGAGUCACCGUCUUCAGAACCACCUGCUACUGAUUUCAGAAGAGAAGUAUAUUGAGCGUUUUCAUAUCCAGAUGACCAGAGAAGAUGGAAACAGAGUGAUUAGAAAUUCUAGCCAUCUCCCAAGAGACAGAAUAGUUGAAGAUUUUGUUUGGGCUCAGUGGGAUAUGUCGGAGCAGAGAUUAUACUACAUUGAACUAAAGAAAUCAGAGAGCAUCUUGAAGUGCAUCCAGUUUUGGGCAGAUGAAAGCUUUGACUUAAUGUUUGAAAUGCCCUUGGACAUAUCAUUAAGUGACUUAGGAUUUAAGCUGGUCAACUUUGGAUAUGAUUAUCGUCAAGACCAAGAGAAGUUUCGCAGUCAGCCUUCUCUGUGCAUUUUCACCAACCAUACAGAAGUAAACCGUUUAAGCCUGGGCUCAACCCUGUCUCCAAACAAACAUACAAAAACAAGAGGGAGUCUGUGUGUGUGUUACAGCCCAAAGAUUGAGUCUUGGAAAGAAAUCACUUAUUCAGUGUUUUACCUUCAUAAAGGGUACAGAAAGACCUUCACUGCUGCUGCUGGGAGUGCUGACUCACAUGUGACAGAGGGCAUUACUUUUCUCAAUCUUGGCUACUUUGUGGCGGUUUACUUACCUGGUCAUUUUCUUCAUUUACUUAACACUCAUCACCCAGACUUGAUCUGCCACAGUCUGUUUCUGACAGGAAGCAACAAAAUGGCGGCUGUGCUACCUCUGAGUCCUUUACAGUCCCUGCCAGGGUCCCUGAUACUGGACUGGCAUUCUGGCAAGGUCUAUAGAGCCACCCUUGACCAGUCAUACUUGAUGUCCUUCCUGUGGAAUGCCCGCCUAGACUGUGAGAAGAUGGCUGCAUUGCACUGUGUGCUCUCCUGUGGUCGAGACCCAGGUUUCCCGGAAGGCCAGAUUCUUCAGUGGAUUUCUGAGCAAGCCUCUGCCUGCCAUUCGUUUGACCUCAUUCAGGAAUUUCUAACUGCCUCUUCCUAUUGGAGCGUGUAUCCAGAGCUGGCUGAUGUGGACAUGCUGUUACCGUACUCCUCUGUGCUGACUUGGGACACAGAAAUUCCUGGAAUAACGCUUGUGAAAGAAGAGCUUCCGCUGCCUCUCCUGAAGGUCUACAACCUGAAGGGGUACUGGGCAAAGCUGAGCUCCAAGCUGGAGUACAUUAAGUAUACGAAGCCUCACCUACACUACCACAACAGUGUUGUGAGGAGAGAGUGGCACAACUUGCUCUCCGAGGAGAAAACGGGGAAAAGAAGGAGCACAAUGUACGUGAGGAACAUUCUUGACAGCGCAGUGAAGGUGAUUUCCAACAUGGAAAAAAGGAUACUGGAGCCAAGGUUACUGCCCCUCUUACAAGAGGAAGACAGGCACCAGAGGCUGCUCAUGGGCCUGAUGGUGUCUGAACUCAGAGACCACCUGCUGAGACACCUACAGGGGGUGGAAAAGAAGAAAGUUGAGCAGCUGGUUCUGGACUACAUUUCAAAACUGCUCGAUCUCGUUUGGUGCAUGCUGGAGACCGCUUGGAGGAAACACAGUGUGCAUCCUUGGCUUUUCCACCUUAACGACCGUGGCAGUGCCGCAGAUUUUGAAGUCUUUCAUCUUAUGACCAGGAUUUUGGAUGCUACUAACAGCCUGUGCUUCCCUCUGCCUCCCGGUUUCCACUCUCUGCACACGAUCCUUGGGGUCCACUGUCUCCCUUUGUACAACCUGCUGCACUACAUUGAUAAUGGGGUGCUGCUGCUCACAGAGACUGCAGUCACAAGGCUCAUGAAAGAUCUGGACAAUUCAGAGAAAAACGAAAAACUGAAAUUCAGCGUCAUUGUGAGGCUCCCUCCGCUUAUUGGCCAGAAGAUCUUUCGGCUUUGGGACCAUCCCAUGAGUUCCAACAUCAUUUCACGGAACCAUGUGGCACGCCUGCUGAGGGGCUAUAAGAAGGAGGUGAAUCUGUGUGAAGCCCAGACACCUCGGAACUGUAUGAUUGACAAGUCAUCAUUUCCAGUAGAAUUUCUGCCUCUGAACUACUUCAUUGAAAUUCUGACGGGUCUGGAGUCCUCCAACCAAGCCCUGUCUGAUUUGGAAGGACGGGACAACGUGGACGCAGAAUUUGUAGAGGAGGCGGCUCUGAAACACACCACAGUGCUUCUGGGCUUAUGAAGUGAAUUGCAGAUGAUCUGUUUUCAACGUUUUCAAAUUGCUUUCACCUCCCUUUCCUGGGAGUUCUUCAGCUGUCUUCUAAGAUUGCAAACGGGUCAGGAUAUACCACAGAGCUGUUUGGCUGCGGUUCAGUACUUGUUCAGACGGAGCGAGCUGCUAAUCUGUUGGCUUGAGCAGAAAAGAAUGACAAGCAGUUCAGGGCUGUGUGCUAUGGCAGAAACAGUGCUCUUCUUGGUGACUCAGCCGGAGGGCCAAUGGGCAGAGCGGCAAGGGCUAGGCAGAUCUCCGGAAGUAUCACAAAACAAGCAGAAAAAGUAAAGUUCUGAAGAGGAUCUAAGAAGAACCUGACUUAGGACUGAAGAAGAUCUGCCCUUUUCCUCAUGGAGUAACUGUGAAGAAUCCUAAUUUGUACACACAGGACUUAAAGCAGCCUCUGCGGUGCCUCAGACAGAGCUGUAUUUAAUUUUAUAUUGAUGAAGGUUUGACUUGGCACUAGCUUCUCAUUGAAGACAGCCUCAAAUGCCGAGACCUUUGGCCCGCCUCUCCUGAUUUUUGACUGUAGCCUUUUUCUUUGUGUAAAGGCAUCAGUAGGAUUUCCAUAAGCCCAUCAGUGUGUUGCUGCAGAGGCCAUGACACCUGUCUCGCUGUGUUGUUCCUGUGAUUUCCCAAAGCUGAAGUUAUUGGACACAUAUUUGAGGUAAACAUCAGUUUGACUUUGACCGUCAUCUCAUAAUUAUUCAAUAACUUGCUAUUCACUGAAGAGUAACAUGCCACCUACUUGGCAAUUCACAAAUUCUGACCCAGUAAAAUAUGAACAGUCUUUUGCAGCCAAGCCAAUUCCCUAGGCCUUGGAGCAUAAGUUUGGCUUUCUUAUUUCAAAGGUUGGAUCAGCUUCAUUCCUCCACUUGGAAUCCCUCUCUGCAUCAAAAAAUAUGUAUUUUUUUAAUGCUCUAGGGCUAAACACACACACACACACACACACACACACACACACGACUGUAAUCCAAGAAUUUUCAUUACAUGGUGGCAACUUUUUCUCAACCAUUGGCACAUAUUGUAAUAUUUAAGUGUCCAGCUUUCUAUGAAUUAAAAAAAAUAAAAAAUAUUGGGCCACCAUGGAAGAGGAUAUGCUCCUUCUUGAUGCAACUUGAUGUGCUGGGGUGGGUUAGUAGGGGACUCUCCUUUCCUGAGGGGUAGGGUAGAAGAGAUAGGGGAAGGAGGGAGGGAGAGUGGGACCGGGAUGAGAGAAGAAAGGGGGCUAUGAUUGGGAUAUAAAGUGAAUAGAUAAAUAAAUUAAAAAAAAAAAACAUUUCCAUUCUUACGGUGUUUAAACUUUCUAGUUUUGUUUUGUUUUUGUUUUUGUUUUUUUCAUUUUUAUUUUUAAUUCCCAAAGAGGUUACUAAAUCCUAUGACACAGGGACUGUUUAAGUAUGCGGUGUUUUCUUAUUAAAUGUCUGGUACUUACUGAAGGCUCUCACAAGCUGUUUGCUUUGGGACGAUCUCGCAAAGCAAUGAGACCAAAUUAAGGACUCACAAAAUGAGAGUAAACUAAUUUCCAUUAAGUGUGGCUUGGAACAGAAUGUUGGAUUUAUCAGAAUAAAAGUAUGGUAUUUCUCAGUCUCCCAGAGCUGGACGUGAGAUCCCUCACUGCUACCAGCACAAUGGGAAAUAGCUUCAGCAUGUUAGUAAAUAUAAAAGUGCAGGUCUCACACGUACGAGCGAAUUGUCACAUCUGAUAAAAACACCGGAGUUGGGAAGAUGAAUGGGCGAAAUGAAAAUUUAAGCAGAUAAGUAGAAUUGUUCUCAUAGAAGUACAGAAUUUUGGUAGACAUCUAGAAAAAUCUAGUAUCAGAGCUUAAAAUGAUCAUGAAUUUGUUUUCAGAUGUGAAAAAAAAUGCAUUUUUAAGGAAUAAAUUAGGACCUAAAUCUUUUUGCAGCAAAGGGAUCCUUGUAAAAUUGUGAAAAUUUUUCACAGCGUUACUUGAGUGAGAGGCUUCACCGCUGCUCUUUACACGAGCCAAGUGCUGCUGCAGCAAAGAGGCUGUGUCAUGGUGUCACAGGGCUGUUUCCCCUCCCAGGUAACCACACUGCACACACACAAGUGAUUUACCUGCUUUUCCUCCGGAAGAGAAAAUGACCACUCCAAUUUCUGUGCUUCACUGAAAAGCUAUUUAUUUUGUACGUUUACAGCAUCUUGUUGUCUGUUAUAUACCCCUGGAAUGUAGUCAAUAUAAACACGUGAGCAACUGGGAUUCACUUUGACAUAACUGUAGCCUCUGCUCCAUUCAGUGUCUUGUAACAUGUCAUAGUUGGUGGAUGUAAGAAACCAUGCCCCACUCUGUUGACUGCCCCUAGCUGAUCAGCAGUGCCCGUUCGUGGUGCGGAGGCUGGCUGAAGUCCUCGCGUUGGGAAGCCUGGACUGGUCCACACGUUUAGAUUUCAAUAGGCUUGACAACAGGCUUCCUUAUGUGCCUCAUGUUGGAUCCAGGUUCGGUGGGCUUAAACGGAGCCAUGGCGCCAUAUGGUUUGGGCAGAGGAAGCGAGGUUUCUGCAUCGGGCAUGUAGGCGUUUGGACGCUGCUCUGCGGUGGUGAAGACCCCGUUGGGCAGCUGCCGAUAAUCUGUUUCCACGUACUC